RNAcentral lists this long non-coding RNA (1115 nucleotides) under Ovis aries (sheep). RNAcentral describes it as "lncRNA (ENSOARG00000026730.1)". Lineage: Eukaryota; Metazoa; Chordata; Mammalia; Artiodactyla; Bovidae. The record is from RNAcentral.
CUUCUUCAGAGGAUCUUCUAGACACAGGGAUGAAACCUGCAUUUCCUGCAUUGACAAGUGGAUUCCUUACCACUGAGCCACCAGGGAAACCCGGAGAGUUAAUACAUAUUCACUCUGAACAAAAUUUUAACAAGUGUCAGAGCAUUGAGGGCAGAAAGAAGAAAAGUACUUGAGAAUGCACACGUUUUUGUUUUGUUUUUCAUUAUCUCCUAUUAAGAACAAAAUAAUUUAACUGAUGCAUUAAUUUAUACUCUAACACCAUUCAGUUCAGUUUAGUUCAGUUGCUCAGUCGUGUCCGACUCUUUGCGACCCCAUGAAUCGCAGCACGCCAGGCCUCCCUGUCCAUCACCAUCUCCCGGAGUUCACUCACACUCACCUCCAUUGAGUCCGUGAUGCCAUCCAGCCAUCUCAUCCUCGGUCGUCCCCUUCUCCUCCUGCCCCCAAUCCCUCCCAGCAUCACAGUCUUUUCCAAUGAGUCAACUCUUUGCAUGAGGUGGCCAAAGUACUGGAGCUUCAGCUUUAGCAUCAUUCCUUCCAAAGAAAUCCCAGGGCUGAUCUCAUUCAGAAUGGACUGGUUGGAUCUCCUUGCAGUCCAAGGGACCCUCAAGAGUCUUCUCCAACACCACAGUUCAAAAGCAUCAAUUCUUCGGCGCUCAGCUUUCUUCACAGUCCAACUCUCACAUCCAUACAUGACCACAGGAAAAACCAUAGCCUUGACUAGACGGACCUUAGUCGGCAAAGUAAUGUCUCUGCUUUUGAAUAUGCUAUCUAGGUUGGUCAUAACUUUUCUUCCAAGGAGUAAGCGUCUUUUAAUUUCAUGGCUGCAGUCACCAUCUGCAGUGAUUUUGGACCACUUCCAAUUUGCCUUGAUUCAUGGACCUAACAUUCCAGGUUCCUAUGCAAUAUUGCUUUUUACAGCAUCGGAUCUUGCUUCUAUCACUAGUCACAUCCACAAAUGGGUAUUGUUUUGCUUUGACUCUCUCCCUUCAUUCUUUCUGGAGUUACUUCUCCACUCAUCUCCAGUAUCAUAUUGUGCACCUACCAACCAUGGGAGUUCAUCUUUCAGUGUCCUAUCUUUUUGCUUUUUCAUACUGUUCAUGGGGUUCUCAAGGUAA